GACGAACGCUGGCGGCGUGCUUAACACAUGCAAGUCGAACGAUGAAGCUAGAGCUUGCUCUGGUGAAUUAGUGGCGAACGGGUGAGUAACACGUGAGUAACCUGCCCCGAACUCUGGGAUAACUGCUGGAAACGGUAGCUAAUACUGGAUACGACCUACGAAGGCAUCUUCUGUAGGUGGAAAGAAUUUCGGUUCGGGAUGGGUUCGCGGCCUAUCAGCUUGUUGGUGAGGGAAUGGCUCACCAAGGAGACGACAGGUAGCCGGCCUGAGAGGGGGACCGGCCACACUGGGACUGAGACACGGCCCAGACUCCUACGGGAGGCAGCAGUGGGGAAUAUUGCACAAUGGGCGCAAGCCUGAUGCAGCAACGCCGCGUGAGGGAUGACGGCCUUCGGGUUGUAAACCUCUUUUAGUAGGGAAGAAGCGAAAGUGACGGUACCUGCAGAAAAAGCACCGGCUAACUACGUGCCAGCCGCCGCCGUAA
This 484-nucleotide ribosomal RNA is filed under the name uncultured bacterium. RNAcentral describes it as "partial 16S ribosomal RNA". It matches the Rfam family "Bacterial small subunit ribosomal RNA", at positions 28 to 523 of the family's 1533-position model. The record is from RNAcentral.